GGAUAACAGUUAGAAAUGACUGCUAAUACCGCAUAAGACCACAGCACCGCAUGGUGCAGGGGUAAAAACUCCGGUGGUGUGAGAUGGACCCGCGUCUGAUUAGCUAGUUGGUAAGGUAACGGCUUACCAAGGCGACGAUCAGUAGCCGACCUGAGAGGGUGACCGGCCACAUUGGGACUGAGACACGGCCCAAACUCCUACGGGGGGCAGCAGUGGGGAAUAUUGCACAAUGGGGGAAACCCUGAUGCAGCAACGCCGCGUGAAGGAAGACGGUUUUCGGAUUGUAAACUUCUAUCAAUAGGGAAGAAAGAAAUGACGGUACCUAAAUAAGAAGCCCCGGCUAACUAC
RNAcentral lists this ribosomal RNA (348 nucleotides) under uncultured bacterium. RNAcentral's name for it is "bacterial SSU rRNA". It matches the Rfam family "Bacterial small subunit ribosomal RNA", at positions 141 to 504 of the family's 1533-position model. The record is from RNAcentral.